RNAcentral lists this ribosomal RNA (446 nucleotides) under Trachinotus baillonii (smallspotted dart). RNAcentral describes it as "partial small subunit ribosomal RNA". It matches the Rfam family "Bacterial small subunit ribosomal RNA", at positions 848 to 1491 of the family's 1533-position model. The record is from RNAcentral. Lineage: Eukaryota; Metazoa; Chordata; Actinopteri; Carangiformes; Carangidae.
UUACACUUAACAUCCGCCUGGGUAUUACGAACAUCAGUUUAAAACCCCAAGGACUUGGCGGUGCUUAACAUCCACCUAGAGGAGCCUGUUCUAGAACCGAUAAUCCCCGUUCAACCUCACCCUCCCUUGUUCCUUCCCGCCUGUAUACCUCCGUCGUCAGCUUACCCUGUGAAGGCUUAAUAGUAAGCAAGAUUGGCACAUCCCCUAAUACGUCAGGUCAAGGUGCAGCGAAUGAGAGGGGAAGAAAUGGGCUACAUUCGCUAAAAUAGCGAACACGAAUGUUGCAUUGAAACAUACAACUGAAGGAGGAUUUAGCAGUAAGAAGGAAAUAGAGUGUCCUACUGAAACCGGCUCUAAAGCGCGCACACACCGCCCGUCACCCUCCCCUAAAAUAAUAAAUUUUUUAACUAAAACACUACACCCUAUAAAGGAGAGGAAAGUCGUAA